Molecule: ribosomal RNA, 403 nt
Filed under: bacterium
Lineage: Bacteria
Description: partial 16S ribosomal RNA
Rfam family: Bacterial small subunit ribosomal RNA
Source: RNAcentral
UGGGGAAUAUUGCACAAUGGAGGGAACUCUGAUGCAGCGACGCCGCGUGAACGAAGAAGGCUUUCGAGUCGUCAAGUUCUUUUAUAUGGGAAGAUAAUGACGGUACCAUAAGAAAAAGCCCCGGCUAACUACGUGCCAGCAGCCGCGGUAAUACGUAGGGGGCUAGCGUUGUCCGGAAUCACUGGGCGUAAAGGGUUCGCAGGCGGAAAUGCAAGUCAGGUGUAAAAGGCAGUAGCUUAACUACUGUAAGCAUUUGAAACUGCAUAUCUUGAGAAGAGUAGAGGUAAGUGGAAUUUUUAGUGUAGCGGUGAAAUGCGUAGAUAUUAAAAAGAAUACCGGUGGCGAAGGCGACUUACUGGGCUCAUUCUGACGCUGAGGAACGAAAGCGUGGGUAGCAAACAGG